Molecule: non-coding RNA, 30 nt
Filed under: Rattus norvegicus (Norway rat)
Lineage: Eukaryota; Metazoa; Chordata; Mammalia; Rodentia; Muridae
Source: RNAcentral
UGCACAUCUCUGGUAAAUCCUGCUGAAUGU